UACGUAGGGUGCGAGCGUUAAUCGGAAUUACUGGGCGUAAAGCGUGCGCAGGCGGUUAUGUAAGACAGGUGUGAAAUCCCCGGGCUUAACCUGGGAACUGCAUUUGUGACUGCAUAGCUAGAGUACGGUAGAGGGGGAUGGAAUUCCGCGUGUAGCAGUGAAAUGCGUAGAUAUGCGGAGGAACACCGAUGCGAAGGCAAUCCCCUGGACCUGUACUGACGCUCAUGCACGAAAGCGUGGGGAGCAAACAGG
Molecule: ribosomal RNA, 252 nt
Filed under: uncultured bacterium
Lineage: Bacteria
Description: partial 16S ribosomal RNA
Rfam family: Bacterial small subunit ribosomal RNA
Source: RNAcentral